This 514-nucleotide ribosomal RNA is filed under the name uncultured organism. RNAcentral's name for it is "bacterial SSU rRNA". It matches the Rfam family "Bacterial small subunit ribosomal RNA", at positions 945 to 1467 of the family's 1533-position model. The record is from RNAcentral.
UUUAAUUCGAUGAUACGCGAGGAACCUUACCUGGGCUUAAAUGUACGAUGCAUAAGUGUGAAAGCACUUUUUCCGUCGGGACUUUGUACAAGGUGCUGCAUGGUUGUCGUCAGCUCGUGCCGUGAGGUGUCGGGUUAAGUCCCAUAACGAGCGCAACCCCGUAUUGUUAGUUACCAGCGCGUAAAGGCGGGGACUCUAGCGAAACUGCCGGUUGUAAACCGCGAGGAAGGUGGGGAUGACGUCAAAUCAGCACGGCCCUUAUGUCCAGGGCUACACACGUGUUACAAUGGCCGGUACAGCGGGCAGCGAGGCAGCGAUGCCGAGCGAAUCUCGAAAGCCGGUCCCAGUUCGGAUUGGAGUCUGCAACCCGACUCCAUGAAGGUGGAAUCGCUAGUAAUCGCGCAUCAGCCAUGGCGCGGUGAUACGUUCCCGGGCCUUGUACACACCGCCCGUCAAGCCAUGGAAGUCUGGGGUGCCUGAAGGCCGUAACCGCGAGGAGCGGUCUAGGGUAAAC